AGCUAGUUGGUAGGGUAACGGCCUACCAAGGCGAUGACGGGUAGCUGGUCUGAGAGGACGAUCAGCCACAAUGGCACUGAAACACGGGCCAUACUCCUACGGGAGGCAGCAGUGAGGAAUAUUGCACAAUGGGCGCAAGCCGUGAUGCAGCAACGCCGCGUGGACGAUGAAGGCCUUCGGGUUGUAAAGUCCUUUUGAGAGGGAAGAGGAAGGACGGUACCUCUUGAAAAAGUCUCGGCUAACUACGUGCCAGCAGCCGCGGUAACACGUAGGAGGCAAGCGUUAUCCGGAUUUAUUGGGCGUAAAGCGCGCGCAGGUGGUUGGGUAAGUCGGAUGUGAAAGCCCCAGACUUAACCUGGGGAGGUCAUUCGAUACUGCUUGACUUGAGAGGGGGAGAGGGAAGCGGAAUUCCCGGUGUAGUGGUGAAAUGCGUAGAUAUCGGGAGGAACUCCAGUGGCGAAGGCGGCUUCCUGGCCCAUUUCUGACACUAAGGCGCGAAAGCGUGGGGAGCGAACGGAAUUAGAUACUCCGGUAGUCCACGCUGUAAACGAUGGGUACUGGGUGUGGGGAGUAUUGACCCUCUCUGUGCCGAAGCUAACGCGUUAAGUACCCCGCCUGCAUACUACGGCCGCAAGGCUAAAACGCAAAGGAAUUGACGGGUCUCCGCACAAGCAGCGGACCGUGUGGUUUAAUUCGAUGGUACACGAAGAACCUUACCUGGGUUUGACAUGCUGGUAGUAAUGAAGCGAAAGCAGAAUGAUCCUUCGGGAGGCCAGCACAGGUGCUGCAUGGCUGUCGUCAGCUCGUGCCGUGAGGUGUUGGGUUAAGUCCUGUAACGAGCGCAACCCUUACUGCUAGUUACAAGUGUCUAGCGGGACUGCCAGUGAUAAGCUGGAGGAAGGUGGGGAUGAUGUCAAGUCAGCAUGGCCUUUAUAUCCAGGGCUACACACACGCUACAAUGGCCGGUACAAUGGGUCGCUAAGCCGUGAGGCGGAGCUAAUCCUCAAAGCCGGUCUCAGUUCGGAUUGCAGGCUGCAACUCGCCUGCAUGAAGUUGGAGUUGCUAGUAACCGCGCGUCAGCUAUAGUGCGGUGAAUACGUCCCCGGAGAUUGUACACACCGCCCGUCACGUCAUGGGAGUUGGUAACACCCGAAGUCAGUGAGCUAACCGCAAGGGGGCAGCUGUCGAAGGUGGGACCGGCGACUGGGACGAAGUCGUAACAAGGUAGCCGUAGCGGAAGCUGCGGCUG
This 1249-nucleotide ribosomal RNA is filed under the name metagenome. RNAcentral's name for it is "bacterial SSU rRNA". It matches the Rfam family "Bacterial small subunit ribosomal RNA", at positions 243 to 1520 of the family's 1533-position model. The record is from RNAcentral.